AACGAACGCUGGCGGCAUGCCUAACACAUGCAAGUCGAACGAGACCUUCGGGUCUAGUGGCGCACGGGUGCGUAACGCGUGGGAACCUGCCCUUAGGUUCGGAAUAACGCCUCGAAAGGGGUGCUAAUACCGGAUAAUGUCUUCGGACCAAAGAUUUAUCGCCUUUGGAUGGGCCCGCGUUGGAUUAGCUAGUUGGUGGG
This 200-nucleotide ribosomal RNA is filed under the name uncultured bacterium. RNAcentral's name for it is "partial 16S ribosomal RNA". It matches the Rfam family "Bacterial small subunit ribosomal RNA", at positions 29 to 256 of the family's 1533-position model. The record is from RNAcentral.